Molecule: long non-coding RNA, 289 nt
Organism: Sphaerodactylus townsendi
Lineage: Eukaryota; Metazoa; Chordata; Lepidosauria; Squamata; Sphaerodactylidae
Exons: 4
Source: RefSeq, a predicted model, not a curated record
GCAACUGCUUCAGUGACUGUGAGGGAAGACGUGUUGUGGGACAUAAGAGGAAGGGGAGUGUGUCCCUUUUGACUCUCUGUUAAUAACUUAGACGGUGGUAUACUUCUGUGCCAAGAUGGUAAUUGGAGGCAUCAUACUCUGGGGGUUCCAGUCCUAUCUGGCUGGAGGGUCCCUAAAGUGGAGCUAAGGAACCCUUGCUUGACACAUGCCACAAGGUACCCAAGGGUUCUCUCUUGUCCCCUAUGCUUUGCAGUCUGCAAUUGACGGAGGUGAAUUUGCAAAAAAAAAA